UACGAAGGGUGCAAGCGUUACUCGGAAUUACUGGGCGUAAAGCGUGCGUAGGUGGUUUGUUAAGUCAGAUGUGAAAGCCCUGGGCUCAACCUGGGAACUGCAUUUGAUACUGGCAGGCUAGAGUGCGGUAGAGGGUAGCGGAAUUCCCGGUGUAGCAGUGAAAUGCGUAGAGAUCGGGAGGAACACCCGUGGCGAAGGCGGCUACCUGGACCAGCACUGACACUGAGGCACGAAAGCGUGGGGAGCAAACAGG
This 253-nucleotide ribosomal RNA is filed under the name uncultured prokaryote. Its description in RNAcentral is "partial 16S ribosomal RNA". It matches the Rfam family "Bacterial small subunit ribosomal RNA", at positions 524 to 776 of the family's 1533-position model. The record is from RNAcentral.